UACGUAGGAGGCAAGCGUUGUUCGGAUUUACUGGGCGUAAAGGGCGUGUAGGCGGUUCGGGAAGUCCUUGGUGAAAUCUCCCGGCUUAACCGGGAAGGGUCUGAGGAUACUCCCGGACUUGAGGGCAGCAGAGGAGAGUGGAAUUCCCGGUGGAGUGGUGAAAUGCGUAGAUAUCGGGAGGAACACCCGUGGCGAAGGCGGCUCUCUGGGCUGUUCCUGACGCUGAGGCGCGAAAGCGUGGGGAGCAAACCUG
This 253-nucleotide ribosomal RNA is filed under the name uncultured bacterium. RNAcentral's name for it is "partial 16S ribosomal RNA". It matches the Rfam family "Bacterial small subunit ribosomal RNA", at positions 524 to 776 of the family's 1533-position model. The record is from RNAcentral.